CAUUACCUUUCAAUGCAGCAGAAUUGGGAUGGUUGAGUUUCUCGCCUCUCAAUUCUGCCUGUAUUCUACCCUUGUUUGUCAUAUACUAUUAUUUCCUCGGCAGGCUUGCCUGCCGAGUGAAACCCAUUAUAACCUAUUUAAUUUUCAAUCAGCGUCUGAAAAAAUUAAUAAUUACAACUUUCAACAACGGAUCUCUUGGUUCUGGCAUCGAUGAAGAACGCAGCGAAAUGCGAUAAGUAGUGUGAAUUGCAGAAUUCAGUGAAUCAUCGAAUCUUUGAACGCACAUUGCGCCCCUUGGUAUUCCAUGGGGCAUGCCUGUUCGAGCGUCAUUUGUACCUUCAAGCUUUGCUUGGUGUUGGGUGUUUGUCCUGAGGGACUCGCCUUAAAGUCAUUGGCAGCCAGUGUUUGGUUUUGAAGCGCAGCACAAGUCGCGAUUCAAGGCUAUACGCCAGCUUCCACAAGCCUUUUUCACUUUUGACCUCGGAUCAGGUAGGGAUACCCGCUGAACUUAA
RNAcentral lists this ribosomal RNA (512 nucleotides) under Paraphoma cf. chrysanthemicola GPO_CO_01_D3. RNAcentral's name for it is "eukaryotic LSU rRNA". The stretch from base 176 to 329 matches the Rfam family "5.8S ribosomal RNA". Lineage: Eukaryota; Fungi; Ascomycota; Dothideomycetes; Pleosporales; Phaeosphaeriaceae. The record is from RNAcentral.